RNAcentral lists this ribosomal RNA (253 nucleotides) under uncultured bacterium. RNAcentral describes it as "partial 16S ribosomal RNA". It matches the Rfam family "Bacterial small subunit ribosomal RNA", at positions 524 to 776 of the family's 1533-position model. The record is from RNAcentral.
UACGUAGGGGGCAAGCGUUGUCCGGAAUCAUUGGGCGUAAAGAGCUCGUAGGCGGUUCGUCGCGUCGGCUGUGAAAACCUGGGGCUCAACCUCAGGCCUGCAGUCGAUACGGGCGGACUUGAGUACUGCAGGGGAGACUGGAAUUCCUGGUGUAGCGGUGAAAUGCGCAGAUAUCAGGAGGAACACCGGUGGCGAAGGCGGGUCUCUGGGCAGUAACUGACGCUGAGGAGCGAAAGCGUGGGGAGCGAACAGG